This is a long non-coding RNA of Chlorocebus sabaeus (green monkey), 1017 nucleotides long. RefSeq lists it as uncharacterized. The record is from RefSeq and is a predicted model, not a curated record. NCBI's taxonomy places the organism in Eukaryota, Metazoa, Chordata, Mammalia, Primates, Cercopithecidae.
GACAUGGCCUUCAGUGGGAUCCUCCACCACCCCUCAUGGUGAAACCAAAAGUGAGGGCAAGGGCCAAAGCAUUGAGACUUGCUUCACCUAUUGGAAUGGGGUCCUGAGGAUGGAAGCGACACAUGGCCUGCCAGUUGCCUGCAGUAUGCCUGUUGGAGGGUGAGGUCAGGCAGCCUCUGCUUGCAUAGUUCUUGGACAGGAAGCUUACUAUUUGCUCAGGCAACCUAUCUCAUCCCAGUGACUGCGAGAAAACAUCCUUGCCCGGGCUGAAACCUGAUGCCUCUUCAAGGUCACUCCUGUUCCCCAACCCCCAAACUGUGCACAUUCUGCUCUCCAGCCUGGGGUGGCCACAGGCCCUGAAAAUGGGCGAGCCUGGGGCUGCCUGGAUUUGAGAACUUAUGGCUCUCCCAGUCUCCCCUUCCUCUCACUUGACCGCUGAUGUGGAACAGCCUCCUUUCCUGAGGCUCUGAUUACCCUGGAGUAGGCAGACGGAACCUUUCUCCUCCACCCCUGGCAACACUGCCGGGCAAGUGCACCACAUCCUGCUUGUCCUACUGGAAGAUGCCUCCCUCUGCAUAGGGGAAGGGAUGAGACUUCCGGGCCAGGCCAGCAGGAAGACUCACUGGUCCAGAAGUUGGAAUACCUGAGUCACUUGACAUGCACUCUCAGAUGAACUGCUGCGCUGCUCUGUGCCUCAGCCUCUUUCAUCUGUAGAAUGGGAUGGUCAUGAUGCCUGGCCAGCGGGGCCCAUGGAGCUUGUAUAAAACCUGAUGGGAGGGGAGUUUGGAGUAAAAGCCUUGCAGAUGAAAGCACUGGACACAGGUCCCCUGGAGUCAUUGGGAUGCAGAUUCCUACUUGGAGGCCUGGAUUUCCAACCAUCUCCCAGGACAUGUGGCCUGGAUUGUUCAGAUUUAGUGUCAUGAGGAGCAGAGUCGGGGGAUACACACCACCAAAUGCCGUGCAUGACACUUGACAGGAUCCUGGAUUGGAAAAAUAAACAGCAGCAUGUUAUGGAGC